GGGAUAAGAGCCACUUAGAUUAGCCAAGGAGACUGCCUGUAAAACCACACAAAGACCUCCGUCAUGGUUGCUCAGAGUCGCAUGCAAACCAUCGAGAAGCUCUUCGAGAGGCCGUAGGCAAGUCAUCCUUGGCUAACGAAGCACGAUCUUAUCC
This is a non-coding RNA of Musa acuminata subsp. malaccensis (wild Malaysian banana), 154 nucleotides long. NCBI's taxonomy places the organism in Eukaryota, Viridiplantae, Streptophyta, Magnoliopsida, Zingiberales, Musaceae. The record is from Rfam.